AGUGAACGCUGGCGGCAUGCCUAACACAUGCAAGUCGAACGAAGGCUUCGGCCUUAGUGGCGCACGGGUGCGUAACGCGUGGGAAUCUGCCCUCAGGUUCGGAAUAACAGCGAGAAAUUGCUGCUAAUACCGGAUGAUAUCGCGAGAUCAAAGAUUUAUCGCCUGAGGAUGAGCCCGCGUAGGAUUAGCUAGUUGGUGUGGUAAAGGUGCACCAAGGCGACGAUCCUUAGCUGGUCUGAGAGGAUGAUCAGCCACACUGGGACUGAGACACGGCCCAGACUCCUACGGGAGGCAGCAGUGGGGAAUAUUGGACAAUGGGCGAAAGCCUGAUCCAGCAAUGCCGCGUGAGUGAUGAAGGCCUUAGGGUUGUAAAGCUCUUUUACCCGGGAUGAUAAUGACGGUACCGGGAGAAUAAGCUCCGGCUAACUCCGUGCCAGCAGCCGCGGUAA
RNAcentral lists this ribosomal RNA (449 nucleotides) under uncultured bacterium. Its description in RNAcentral is "partial 16S ribosomal RNA". It matches the Rfam family "Bacterial small subunit ribosomal RNA", at positions 29 to 523 of the family's 1533-position model. The record is from RNAcentral.